This 821-nucleotide ribosomal RNA is filed under the name uncultured fungus. RNAcentral's name for it is "eukaryotic LSU rRNA". It matches the Rfam family "Eukaryotic large subunit ribosomal RNA", at positions 30 to 821 of the family's 3401-position model. Lineage: Eukaryota; Fungi. The record is from RNAcentral.
GAACUUAAGCAUAUCAAUAAGCGGAGGAAAAGAAACUAACAAGGAUUCCCCUAGUAACUGCGAGUGAAGCGGGAAAAGCUCAAAUUUAAAAUCUGGUGGUCCCGAGUUGGCUGCCCGAGUUGUAAUCUAGAGAAGUGCUUUCCGCGCUGGACCGUGUACAAGUCUCUUGGAACGGAGCGUCGUAGAGGGUGACAAUCCCGUCUUUGACACGGACUGCCAGGGCUUAUGUGAUGCGCUCCCGAAGAGUCGAGUUGUUUGGGAAUGCAGCUCAAAAUGGGUGGUAAAUUCCAUCUAAAGCUAAAUAUGGGCGAGAGACCGAUAGCGAACAAGUACCGUGAGGGAAAGAUGAAAAGAACUUUGAAAAGAGAGUUAAACAGUGCGUGAAAUUGUUGAAAGGGAAACGAUUCAAGUCAGUCGCGUUGGCCGGUAAUCAACCCUUGCGAAGGCGGGGGCUUACUUUCCGUCUGACGGGUCAGCAUCAAUUUUGACCGUCAGAUAAAGGUUUGGGGAACGUGGCAUCUUCGGAUGUGUUAUAGCCCCUUGUCAGAUGUGACGGUUGGGAUUGAGGAACUUGGCACGCCCGCAAAGGGUCGGGGCUUUUUGCCCACGUAACGUGCUUUGGAUGCUGGCAUAAUGGCUUGAACCGACCCGUCUUGAAACACGGACCAAGGAGUCUAACAUGCCUGCGAGUGUUUGGGUGGCAAACUCGAGCGCGAAGUGAAAGUGAAACUUGUCGAGAUCUCUGUCGUGGGGAGCACCGACGCCCGGACCUGACCUUUUGUGAAGGAUCCGCGGUUGAGCAUGCAUGUUGGGACCCGAAA